Molecule: ribosomal RNA, 834 nt
Filed under: Triticum aestivum (bread wheat)
Lineage: Eukaryota; Viridiplantae; Streptophyta; Magnoliopsida; Poales; Poaceae
Description: partial small subunit ribosomal RNA
Source: RNAcentral
AUGGCCCGUGCUGUUGUUCCGUUGAAUUUUAAUGCGUUCCUUGAGAAAGCAAAGUUGAAAGAUGAUGGUAGCAAUUACACGGACUGGGUCCAUCACUUGAUGAUUAUCCCCAUUGCUGCACAGAAGAAUUACAUCCUGGAAGCACCGCUGGGUGCCAGGCCUGCUGCUGGAGCAAUACCAGAUGUUAUGAAUGUCUGGCAGAGCAAAGCUGAUGUCUACUCGAUAGUUCAGUGUGCCAUGCUUUACGGCUUCGAAUCGGGACUUCAACGACGUUUUGAACGUCAUGGAGCAUAUGAGAUGUUCCAGGAGUUGAAGUUAAUAUUUCAAGCAAAUGCCCGAAUUGAGAGAUAUGAAGUCUCCAAUAAGUUCUAUAGCUGCAAGAUGGAGGAGAACAGUUCUGUCAGUGAGCAUAUACUCAAAAUGUCUGGGUAUAAUAAUCACUUGAUUCAGAUGGGAGUUAAUCUUCCAGAUGAUUGCGUCAUUGACAGAAUUCUCAAAUCACUGCCACCAAGCUACAAGAGCUUCGUGAUGAACUAUAAUAUGCAAGGGAUGAAUAAGACUAUUCCCGAGCUCUUCGCAAUGCUGAAAGCUGCGGAGGUAGAAAUCAAGAAGGAGCAUCAAGUGUUGAUGGUCAACAAGACCACUACUUCAAGAAAAAGGGCAAAGGGAAGAAGAAGGGGAACUUUAAGAAGAACAGAAAGCAAGUUGCUGCUCAGGAGAAGAAACCCAAGUCUGGACCUAAGCCUGAAACUGAGUGCUUCUACUGCAAGCAGACUGGUCACUGGAAGCGGAACUGCCCCAAGUAUUUGGCGGAUAAGAAGGAUGGCAAUGUGA